UACGUAGGGGGCAAGCGUUAUCCGGAUUUACUGGGUGUAAAGGGAGCGUAGACGGCGAUGCAAGCCAGAUGUGAAAGCCCGGGGCUCAACCCCGGGACUGCAUUUGGAACUGUAUAGCUAGAGUGUCGGAGAGGCAGGCGGAAUUCCUAGUGUAGCUGUGAAAUGCGUAGAUAUUAGGAGGAACACCAGUGGCGAAGGCGGCCUGCUGGACGAUGACUGACGUUGAGGCUCGAAAGCGUGGGGAGCAAACAGG
RNAcentral lists this ribosomal RNA (253 nucleotides) under uncultured bacterium. RNAcentral describes it as "partial 16S ribosomal RNA". It matches the Rfam family "Bacterial small subunit ribosomal RNA", at positions 524 to 776 of the family's 1533-position model. The record is from RNAcentral.